AGCAGCCGCGGUAAUUCCAGCUCCAAUAGCGUAUAUUAAAGUUGUUGCAGUUAAAAAGCUCGUAGUUGAAUUUUGGGAUCAGACUGUCGGUCGUGCCUCGGUACGCACUGGCAUUAUUGGUUCCUACCUUCUGAAGAACCGCGAUGUCAUUAAUUUGGUGUCGUGGGGAAUCAGGACUGUUACUUUGAAAAAAUUGAGUGUUUAAAGCAGGCGCACGCUUGAAUACAUUAGCAUGGAAUAAUGAAAUAGGACGUUUGAUUCUAUUUUGUUGGUUUCUAGGAUUGACGUAAUGAUUAAUAGGGAUAGUUGGGGGCAUUAGUAUUCAAUUGUCAGAGGUGAAAAUUCUUGGAUUUAUUGAAGACUAACUACUGCGAAAGCAUUUGCCAAGGAUGUUUUCAUUAAUCAAGAACGAAAGUUAGGGAUCGAAGACGAUCAGAUACCGUCGUAGUC
RNAcentral lists this ribosomal RNA (450 nucleotides) under uncultured Glomeromycotina. RNAcentral describes it as "SSU rRNA". It matches the Rfam family "Eukaryotic small subunit ribosomal RNA", at positions 569 to 1025 of the family's 1831-position model. Lineage: Eukaryota; Fungi; Glomeromycota. The record is from RNAcentral.